Molecule: ribosomal RNA, 347 nt
Filed under: uncultured bacterium
Lineage: Bacteria
Description: partial 16S ribosomal RNA
Rfam family: Bacterial small subunit ribosomal RNA
Source: RNAcentral
CCUACGGGAGGCAGCAGUGAGGAAUAUUGGUCAAUGGACGAGAGUCUGAACCAGCCAAGUAGCGUGAAGGAUGACGGCACUAUGGGUUGUAAACUUCUGUUAUAUGGGAAUAAAAUGUUCCACGUGUGGGAUUUUGUAUGUACCAUAUGAAUAAGGAUCGGCUAACUCCGUGCCAGCAGCCGCGGUAAUACGGAGGAGCCGAGCGUUAGCCGGAUUUAUUGGGUGUAACGGGAGCGUAGGUGGCUUGUUAAGUCAGUUGUGAAAGUUUGCGGCUCAACCGUAAAAUUGCAGUUGAAACUGGCAGUCUUGCGUACAGUCGAGGUUGGCGGACUUCGUGGUGUAGCGGU